GAUGAACGCUAGCGGCAGGCUUAAUACAUGCAAGUCAAACGGUUGUAGCAAUACAAUAGUGGCGCACGGGUGAGUAACGCGUACAUAACUUGCCUCAUAUUGGGGGAUAGCUUUGGGAAACUGGAGGUAAUACCGCAUAUUAUUAGGAGAUGGCAUCAUUUUUUAAUAAAAGCUACGGCGAUAUGAGAUAGGUGUGCGUGCCAUUAGGUAGUUGGUAAGGUAACGGCUUACCAAGCCUACGAUGGCUAGGGGCGUGAGAGCGUGACCCCCACAUGGACACUGAGACACGGGUCCAACUCCUACGGGAGGCAGCAGUAAGGAAUAUUGGUCAAUGGACGCAAGUCUGAACCAGCCAUGCGCGUGAAGGAAUAAGGUUCCUCU
This 381-nucleotide ribosomal RNA is filed under the name uncultured bacterium. Its description in RNAcentral is "bacterial SSU rRNA". It matches the Rfam family "Bacterial small subunit ribosomal RNA", at positions 28 to 420 of the family's 1533-position model. The record is from RNAcentral.